This 197-nucleotide ribosomal RNA is filed under the name uncultured bacterium. Its description in RNAcentral is "partial 16S ribosomal RNA". It matches the Rfam family "Bacterial small subunit ribosomal RNA", at positions 328 to 539 of the family's 1533-position model. The record is from RNAcentral.
ACGCUCGACACCUACGGAGGCAGCAGUGGGGAAUAUUGCACAAUGGGGGAAACCCUGAUGCAGCGACGCCGCGUGAGCGAAGAAGUAUUUCGGUAUGUAAAGCUCUAUCAGCAGGGAAGAAACUGACGGUACCUGACUAAGAAGCACCGGCUAAAUACGUGCCAGCAGCCGCGGUAAUCUGAGCGGGCUGGCAAGGC